This 85-nucleotide transfer RNA is filed under the name Thalassoporum mexicanum PCC 7367. RNAcentral describes it as "tRNA-Ser (CGA) (tRNA-Ser-CGA-1-1)". It matches the Rfam family "tRNA". From Rfam's summary of the family: Transfer RNA (tRNA) molecules are approximately 80 nucleotides in length. Their secondary structure includes four short double-helical elements and three loops (D, anti-codon, and T loops). The record is from Rfam by way of RNAcentral. Lineage: Bacteria; Bacillati; Cyanobacteriota; Cyanophyceae; Pseudanabaenales; Thalassoporaceae.
GGAGAGGUGGCAGAGUGGUUGAAUGCGACGGUCUCGAAAACCGUUAUAGUGAAAGCUAUCGGGGGUUCGAAUCCCCCCCUCUCCG